Molecule: ribosomal RNA, 891 nt
Filed under: uncultured archaeon
Lineage: Archaea
Description: bacterial SSU rRNA
Rfam family: Archaeal small subunit ribosomal RNA
Source: RNAcentral
CCUGACUGCUAUCGGAUUGAUACUAAGCCAUGCGAGUCAUUGUAGCAAUACAAGGCAGACGGCUCAGUAACGCGUAGUCAAUCUACCCUAUGGACGGGAAUAACCUCGGGAAACUGAGAAUAAUGCCCGAUAGAACAUUAUGCCUGGAAUGGUUUAUGUUUCAAAUGAUUUAUCGCCAUAGGAUGGGACUGCGGCCUAUCAGUUUGUUGGUGAGGUAAUGGCCCACCAAGACUAUUACAGGUACGGGCUCUGAGAGGAGUAGCCCGGAGAUGGGUACUGAGACACGGACCCAGGCCCUAUGGGGCGCAGCAGGCGAGAAAACUUUGCAAUGUGCGAAAGCACGACAAGGUUAAUCCGAGUGGUUUCUGCUAAAGAAACCUUUUGUCAGUCCUAGAAACACUAACGAAUAAGGGGUGGGCAAGUUCUGGUGUCGGCCGCCGCGGUAAAACCAGCACCUCAAGUGGUCAGGAUGAUUAUUGGGCCUAAAGCAUCCGUAGCUCGUUUUGUAAGUUUUCGGUUAAAUCCAUGCGCUUAACGUAUGGGCUGCCGGGAAUACUGCAUAACUAGGGAGUGGGAGAGGUAGACGGUACUCGGGAGGAAGGGGUAAAAUCCUUUGAUCUCUUGAUGACCACCUGUGGCGAAGGCGGUCUACCAGAACACGUUCGACGGUGAGGGAUGAAAGCUGGGGGAGCAAACCGGAUUAGAUACCCGGGUAGUCCCAGCUGUAAACUAUGCAAACUCAGUGAUGCAUUGGCUUAUGGCCAAUGCAGUGCUGCAGGGAAGCCGUUAAGUUUGCCGCCUGGGAAGUACGUACGCAAGUAUGAAACUUAAAGGAAUUGGCGGGGGAGCACCACAAGGGGUGAAGCCUGCGGUUCAAUUGGAGUCAACGCC